CUGUCGUCAGCUCGUGCUGUGAAGUGUCGGGUUAAGUCCCUUAAAAAGCGCAACCCCUAUCGUUAGUUACUAACGCGUCAAUGGCGAGGACUCUAGCGAGACUGCCGGUGUCAAACCGGAGGAAGGUGGGGAUGACGUCAAGUCCUCAUGGCCCUUAUGUCUAGGGAUGCAAACGUGCUACAAUGGUAUGGACAAAGCGAUGCAAUACCGCGAGGUGGAGCAAAUCGCAAAAACCAUGCCCCAGUUCGGAUAGCAGGCUGAAAUUCGCCUGCUUGAAGCCGGAAUCGCUAGUAAUCGCGUAUCAGCUACGACGCGGUGAAUACGUUCCUGAG
Molecule: ribosomal RNA, 332 nt
Filed under: uncultured bacterium
Lineage: Bacteria
Description: bacterial SSU rRNA
Rfam family: Bacterial small subunit ribosomal RNA
Source: RNAcentral